AGACCUCAAAUCAGUCAGGACUACCCGCUGAACUUAAGCAUAUCAAUAAGCGGAGGAAAAGAAACUAACAAGGAUUCCCCUAGUAACGGCGAGUGAAGUGGGAAAAGCUCAACUUUGAAAUCUGGUACUUUCAGUAUCCGAAUUGUAGUCUCAAGAAGUGUUUUCUGUGCCGGUCCAUGUAUGAGUCUGUUGGAACACAGCGUCAUAGAGGGUGACAACCCCGUUCAUGACAUGGAUCCCGGUGCUUUGUGAUACACUCUCGAAGAGUCGAGUUGUUUGGGAAUGCAGCUCAAAUUGGGUGGUAAAUUCCAUCUAAAGCUAAAUAUUGGCGAGAGACCGAUAGCAAACAAGUACCGUGAGGGAAAGAUGAAAAGCACUUUGGAAAGAGAGUUAACAGUACGUGAAAUUGUUGAAAGGGAAACGAUUGAAGUCAGACGUGCGUGAUGCGGUUCAGCUUUAGUUCGCUAGAGUGUACUCCGUAUCUUUGCAGGCCAACAUCGGUUUUGUUAGUCGGAUAAAGGUUUGAGAAAUGUGGCACCUUCGGGUGUGUUAUAGUCUCAGACUGAAUACGAUUGAUGGGACCGAGGAACGCAGCGCGCCGCAAGGCAAAGGUUCCGACCUUCGCG
RNAcentral lists this ribosomal RNA (626 nucleotides) under Cystobasidium ongulense. RNAcentral's name for it is "eukaryotic LSU rRNA". It matches the Rfam family "Eukaryotic large subunit ribosomal RNA", at positions 1 to 613 of the family's 3401-position model. The record is from RNAcentral. Lineage: Eukaryota; Fungi; Basidiomycota; Cystobasidiomycetes; Cystobasidiales; Cystobasidiaceae.